UCAACCACCAUCUCCACCACUAGGCCAGCUGAGUUACUCCAGCCGUUCACUCACCAUCAUCAACCUUCUUCUUCCCUUCCCUUCCUCUGUUCCAAUUCUGCUUCCUAGCACCACCAUCACUCUUGCAGCCACUCUAUCGCCUAACCCACCAGCUGAAGGUGGAGGUGACACAGUGACGACUCCUUCCACUCCGCAUGAUCGUGAGCA
This is a non-coding RNA of Arachis ipaensis, 207 nucleotides long. Lineage: Eukaryota; Viridiplantae; Streptophyta; Magnoliopsida; Fabales; Fabaceae. The record is from RefSeq and is a predicted model, not a curated record.